CAGUGGGGACGUGGCCUCUGGUCAAAGCAGAUGUUCUCAGCAGUAUCUCCUACUAAGGCAACUGACCACAUUGCAGGGCCCCACCCCCUGGGGGAGUUGGACUCAGGUCCUAGUUGCCAGGCAACAGUUCUGAAUAGCUAGAGGAGCAUGGCGGGGGUUGGCGGGAGGACAGGACUUGUGGGAGUAUGUAGGAGUCCUGGAGGAGAGAUGGGGAGGACCUAGGCUUCAGGUCUCUCCAUCUCCAGCUCUCACCACAACUGGAGCCUCACCUCUGUCGGUGCCUGUGGCAUCACCUCAGCUCUUUCUACCUUCUGGAUGGAAGAAAGCUGCAAUACAAUGUGUCACUCUGCUUGUAAUUUACUACUACAAUUCCAUCUUCUUUUUUGGGUUCUCUGCUCCAAGGAGAGGCAUGCAUAAGAAAGGUCUGCAUGAUUAUUCUGCCUUAAUUGCUUUGACUCUCGCUCAUGUCCUCCAUACUGCCGGAACUCCCUCCCCUUUCAUAUCCACAGACCACUACUCUUCUCAUCUUCACAGUCCUACUAAAAUUAUAACUCCUCCAGGAAGGCUUCCCCAACUAACCUCUUCUCCCCAAUUAUAUUUAUUGGGUGCUGACG
RNAcentral lists this long non-coding RNA (614 nucleotides) under Ornithorhynchus anatinus (platypus). RNAcentral's name for it is "lncRNA (ENSOANG00000034704.2)". Lineage: Eukaryota; Metazoa; Chordata; Mammalia; Monotremata; Ornithorhynchidae. The record is from RNAcentral.